GAUGAAGAACGCAGCGAAAUGCGAUAAGUAGUGUGAAUUGCAGAAUUCAGUGAAUCAUCGAAUCUUUGAACGCACAUUGCGCCCCCUGGUAUUCCGGGGGGCAUGCCUGUUCGAGCGUCAUUUCACCACUCAAGCCUCGCUUGGUAUUGGGCGACGCGGUCCGCCGCGCGCCUCAAAUCGACCGGCUGGGUCUUUCGUCCCCUCAGCGUUGUGGAAACUAUUCGCUAAAGGGUGCCGCGGGAGGCCACGCCGUAAAACAACCCCAUUUCUAAGGUUGACCUCGGAUCAGGUAGGGAUACCCGCUGAACUUAAGCAUAUCAAUAAGCGGAGGA
Molecule: unclassified non-coding RNA, 332 nt
Filed under: soil metagenome
Description: partial contains 5.8S ribosomal RNA, internal transcribed spacer 2, and large subunit ribosomal RNA
Rfam family: 5.8S ribosomal RNA (bases 1-120)
Source: RNAcentral